CGAGGACGACGCUGGCGGCGUGCCUAAUACAUGCAAGUCGAACGCUUUUCGUUUCACCGGAGCUUGCUCCACGAAAGAAAAGAGUGGCGAACGGGUGAGUAACACGUGGGUAACCUGCCCAUCAGAAGGGGAUAACACUUGGAAACAGUGCUAAUACCGUAUAACACUAUUUUCCGCAUGGAAGAAAGUUGAAAGGCGCUUUUUGCGUCACUGAUGGAUGGACCCGCGGUGCAUUAGCUAGUUGGUGAGGUAACGGCUCACCAAGGCAACGAUGCAUAGCCGACCUGAGAGGGUGAUCGGCCACACUGGGACUGAGACACGGCCCAGACUCCUACGGGAGGCAGCAGUAGGGAAUCUUCGGCAAUGGACGAAAGUCUGACCGAGCAACGCCGCGUGAGUGAAAGAAGGUUUUUCGGAUCGUAAAACUCUGUUGUUAGAGAAGAACAAGGAUGAGAGUAAAAUGUUCAUCCCUUGACGGUAUCUAACCAGAAAGCCACGGCUAACUACGUGCCAGCAGCGGC
This 521-nucleotide ribosomal RNA is filed under the name uncultured bacterium. RNAcentral describes it as "bacterial SSU rRNA". It matches the Rfam family "Bacterial small subunit ribosomal RNA", at positions 32 to 518 of the family's 1533-position model. The record is from RNAcentral.